CUCUUGCUUCACAUAAGAGGUCCAGCCUGCCCAGUGAAAUUUUAACGGCCGCGGUACCCUGACCGUGCGAAGGUAGCAUAAUCACUCGUUCUCUAAAUAGGGACUUGUAUCAAUGGCAUCACGAGGGUCAUACUGUCUCCUCUCUCCAAUCAGUGAACCUAAUCUCCCCGUGAAGAAGCGGGGUUGCACCCAUAAGACGAGAAGACCCCAUGGAGCUUUAAACCUUAAAGCAAUUUAAAUAAAAUAUUUCCACAUAUACUUUAGAUAUGCAUGAAGGUUUUGGGUUGGGGUGACCGCGGAGUAAAAACAAACCUCCACAACGAAAAGAACUAAAUCUUUAUCUAAGAACUACUAUUCUAAGAAUCAACACACUGACGAAUACUGAUCCGACAAUCGAUCAAUGAACCAAGUUACCCUGGGGAUAACAGCGCAAUCUACUUCGAGAGCUCAUAUCGACAAGUAGGCUUACGACCUCGAUGUUGGAUCAGGGUAUCCCAGUGGUGCAGCCGCUACUAAUGGUUCGUUUGUUCAACGAUUAAACCCC
Molecule: ribosomal RNA, 544 nt
Filed under: Chiromantis rufescens (African foam-nest treefrog)
Lineage: Eukaryota; Metazoa; Chordata; Amphibia; Anura; Rhacophoridae
Description: partial large subunit ribosomal RNA
Rfam family: Bacterial large subunit ribosomal RNA
Source: RNAcentral